RNAcentral lists this long non-coding RNA (1173 nucleotides) under Physcomitrium patens. RNAcentral describes it as "long non-coding RNA (PPAT_LNC005868)". The record is from RNAcentral. Lineage: Eukaryota; Viridiplantae; Streptophyta; Bryopsida; Funariales; Funariaceae.
UUUCUAUGAGCAUUGAUUUUGGUUGAUUUGGAGUUGAUAUGACUUUGUAAGAGCUUUGCAAAGUCGAGGUUUGUUUUGGAUGACUUGGGUUUUAUGAAAUAAAAUAGGGUUUACAUUUUGGGUGAUUUCAAGAGUUUGUAAUAGAUCUACAAGUGAAAUUUUGUGGAUUUAUAAUUAUAGUUGUAUUUAAUAUGUGUCGUAAAUUUGAGCUUGAUCUAACGGUUGAAUUGAGGGAUAUUGAGGUUUAAGUGGGUCAAGGUCUCAGAAAGUAGAAUUUUAGGUCUAGUGGAGGUUUUUGAAUUUUCUUGCAAUCUAUUGGUUGAAUUGGAAUAAAACUUAUGUGAGAGAAUAUUAGACUUAUUUUUCUAUAAGUAUGAGAAUUUUGAGAUCAAUCGAAAGGUGCAAAAGAGAGAUAUUGGCUCUAGAAGAUUGACAUUAAGAUUGGAGAAGAAGGCCAGCCAAUACCAGAGCUCAUUUUUGAGGAUAUCACCAAUUUGGUAACUCUGAUCCUUAUCAAAUUUUUUGUGCUUUUUUUUAACUUGUUUUUUAGAAGUGUGUAAAAUUUUAGUUAAGAUCAACGAUUUAUUCAUUAGUUAUUGAGAUUUAAAUCUGUUAUAGGAAUUAUUAGGGUUUGGUUUAGGGUUUGGUUAGGAUUUGGUUUGGAAUUUAGGAUUUGGAUUAGGAUUUAAUUUAGGAUUUAGGAUUUGGUUUAGGAUUUAGGAUUUAGAUAGGAUUUGAUUUAGGAUUUAGGAUUUGGAUUAGGGUUUGGUUUAGGAUUUAGAGUUUGGAUUGGGAUUUGGUUAGGAAUUAAGAUUUGAUUAGGAUUUGAUUUAGGGUUUUUUGAAUCUGAUUAAGCUUGCUUAGUAUUAUUAUGAUGUAAUUAGAGUGUUGUUAGUAUUCUAUUAGAAUUAAGAUUUUGUUAUUGUAAUUUCCAUUCUUUCUUCCAGAGCCAGGUGCCCAGAGCAUUCUCAAGUAAGACUUCACAUAUUACGACAACGAUAUGUCCAUAAAGCUGCAAACAACUUAGUGUCUUAAUUUGUGCCCGCUCUUGAAAUUUUUUUUGUUAAGAUUUUAUAUAAAAUCCUAUUAAUCUUUUCCAUUUGUCCAUUGGCUCUAGGGUGAUACAGUGUAAUCUUCCGAUGUUUUAUCUCAUAUUUAGCCAUGAGUGCUUCG